Molecule: ribosomal RNA, 492 nt
Filed under: uncultured bacterium
Lineage: Bacteria
Description: partial 16S ribosomal RNA
Rfam family: Bacterial small subunit ribosomal RNA
Source: RNAcentral
AGUGAACGCUGGCGGUAGGCCUAACACAUGCAAGUCGAACGGCAGCACAGUAAGAGCUUGCUCUUACGGGUGGCGAGUGGCGGACGGGUGAGGCAUACAUCGGAAUCUACUUUUUCGUGGGGGAUAACGUAGGGAAACUGACGCUAAUACCGCAUACGACCUACGGGUGAAAGCAGGGGAUCUUCGGACCUUGCGCGAUUGAAUGAGCCGAUGUCGCAUUAGCUAGUUGGCGGGGUAAAGGCCCACCAAGGCGACGAUCCGUAGCUGGUCUGAGAGGAUGAUCAGCCACACUGGAACUGAGACACGGUCCAGACUCCUACGGGAGGCAGCAGUGGGGAAUAUUGGACAAUGGGCGCAAGCCUGAUCCAGCAAUACCGCGUGGGUGAAGAAGGCCUUCGGGUUGUAAAGCCCUUUUGUUGGGAAAGAAAAGCAGCAGGUUAAUACCCCGCUGUUCUGACGGUACCCAAAGAAUAAGCACCGGCUAACUUCGUG